RNAcentral lists this ribosomal RNA (429 nucleotides) under Chloroflexota bacterium. Its description in RNAcentral is "Chloroflexi bacterium partial 16S ribosomal RNA". It matches the Rfam family "Bacterial small subunit ribosomal RNA", at positions 355 to 776 of the family's 1533-position model. Lineage: Bacteria; Bacillati; Chloroflexota. The record is from RNAcentral.
UGGGGAAUAUUGCACAAUGGGCGCAAGCCUGAUGCAGCCAUGCCGCGUGUAUGAAGAAGGCCUUCGGGUUGUAAAGUACUUUCAGUCGGGAGGAAGGUGGUAAGGUUAAUAACCUUAUCAAUUGACGUUACCGAUAGAAGAAGCACCGGCUAACUCCGUGCCAGCAGCCGCGGUAAUACGGAGGGUGCAAGCGUUAAUCGGAAUUACUGGGCGUAAAGCGCACGCAGGCGGUUGAUUGAGUCAGAUGUGAAAUCCCCGGGCUUAACCCGGGAAUUGCAUCUGAUACUGGCCAGCUAGAGUCUUGUAGAGGGGGGUAGAAUUCCAUGUGUAGCGGUGAAAUGCGUAGAGAUGUGGAGGAAUACCGGUGGCGAAGGCGGCCCCCUGGACAAAGACUGACGCUCAGGUGCGAAAGCGUGGGGAGCAAACAGG